This 57-nucleotide transfer RNA is filed under the name Loxodonta africana (African savanna elephant). It matches the Rfam family "tRNA", at positions 8 to 63 of the family's 71-position model. From Rfam's summary of the family: Transfer RNA (tRNA) molecules are approximately 80 nucleotides in length. Lineage: Eukaryota; Metazoa; Chordata; Mammalia; Proboscidea; Elephantidae. The record is from Rfam by way of RNAcentral.
UGGUCUAGUGGUUAAGCAUUUGGCUGCUAACCAAAAGGUUGGCAGUUCGAAUCUACC